UUAAAGUAGUAAGGGCGCAGGGUGGAUGCCUUGGCACUAAGAGCCGAUGAAAGACGUGAUAAGCUGCGAAAAGCUUCGGGGAGGAGCACAUAUCCAAUGAUCCGGAGAUAUCUGAAUGGGGAAACCCGGCAGAGGAAACCUCUGUCAGCGUGCAGUGAAUACAUAGCUGUACGUGGGGAACCCGGGGAACUGAAACAUCUAAGUACCCGGAGGAAGAGAAAGAAAAUUUAUCGAUUUCCAAAGUAGCGGCGAGCGAAAUGGAAAGAGCCCAAACCGUGAUGCGUGCAUCGCGGGGUUCGGACUGCGUUGUGGCAGACGUAAGAUAGGAGAACGGACUGGGAAGUCCGGCCGGAGAGAGUGAAAGCCUCGUAUCCGAAAUCCCAAGUCGCCUAGCAGGAUCCAGAGUAGGACGAGACACGAGAAACCUUGUCUGAACGAGCGGGGACCACCCCGUAAGGCUAAAUACUUCUUAGUGACCGAUAGCGCAUAGUACUGUGAAGGAAAGGUGAAAAGUACCCCGGGAGGGGAGUGAAAGAGAACCUGAAACCCUGUGUCUACAAGCUGUGGGACCUCUUUAUAUGAGGGACUGCGUACUUUUUGUAGAACGGUCCGGCGAGUUGUGCGUACUGGCGAGGUUAAGGACUUAAGGUCUGGAGCCGAAGUGAAAGCAAGCGUUAAGAGCGCGUCAAGUCAGUGAGUGCAGACCCGAAACCGGGUGACCUAUCCAUGUCCAGGUUGAAGCUUCCGUAAGAGGAAGUGGAGGACCGAACCCACAUCCGUUGAAAAGGGUGGGGAUGAGGUGUGGAUAGCGGAGAAAUUCCAAUCGAACCCGGAGAUAGCUGGUUCUCCUCGAAAUAGCUUUAGGGCUAGCCUCAUGAGAGUCUUAUGGAGGUAGAGCACUGAAUUGCCUAGGGGGCGUCAAAGCUUACCAAAGCAUAUCAAACUCCGAAUGCCAUCAAGAUGAUUCAUGGGAGUCAGACCAUACGAGAUAAGUUGGAUGGUCAAAAGGGAAAGAGCCCAGACCUACAGCUAAGGUCCCAAAGUGCGUGUUAAGUGGAAAAGGAUGUGGGGAUUCUAAGACAACUAGGACGUUGGCUUAGAAGCAGCCAUUCAUUGAAAGAGUGCGUAAUAGCUCACUAGUCGAGAGUCCCUGCGCCGAAAAUGUCCGGGGCUGAAACACGACACCGAAGCUUAGGAAUGUGUAAACAUUGGUAGAGGAGCAUUGCUGGCGGGAUGAAGCCAUACCGUAAGGAGUGGUGGACUGCUAGGAAGAGAGAAUGCCGGAAUGAGUAGCGAGAUGAAGGUGAGAAUCCUUCAGGCCGAAUAUCUAAGGUUUCCAGAGUAAAGCUGAUCUGCUCUGGGUAAGUCGGGACCUAAGGCGAGGUCGAAAGACGUAGUCGAUGGAUAACAGGUUGAAAUUCCUGUACCGCAUAUAAACAGAACUGUGGGGACACAGACAGGGAAUGGAAUCCGGGAAUGGAUAUCCCGGUGCAAGCGAGGUAGGAGUGCUGUUGGCAAAUCCGCAGCACGAUCUGAAGACGUGAUGCGUACCGAACAUAAGUAGGGAAGUCCAGGCCCCUGGCUGUCAAGAAAAGCCGCUAUCGUUUUAUAUGUGCCCGUACCGCAAACCGACACAGGUGGAUGAGGAGAGAAUCCUAAGGCCGACGGGAGAAGUAUUGUUAAGGAACUCGGCAAAAUGACUCCGUAACUUCGGGAGAAGGAGUGCCAUGAGAGUGGCCGCAGAGAAAUGGCCCAAGCAACUGUUUAGCAAAAACACAGGUCUAUGCAAAACCGCAAGGUGAAGUAUAUGGGCUGACGCCUGCCCGGUGCUGGAAGGUUAAGGGGAGAGGUUAGCGCAAGCGAAGCUUUGAACUUAAGCCCCAGUAAACGGCGGCCGUAACUAUAACGGUCCUAAGGUAGCGAAAUUCCUUGUCGGGUAAGUUCCGACCC
RNAcentral lists this ribosomal RNA (1950 nucleotides) under human gut metagenome. Its description in RNAcentral is "bacterial LSU rRNA". It matches the Rfam family "Bacterial large subunit ribosomal RNA", at positions 1 to 1989 of the family's 2925-position model. The record is from RNAcentral.